This 576-nucleotide long non-coding RNA is filed under the name Parus major (Great Tit). Its description in RNAcentral is "lncRNA (ENSPMJG00000013557.1)". Lineage: Eukaryota; Metazoa; Chordata; Aves; Passeriformes; Paridae. The record is from RNAcentral.
UCCAAAUCAAAAUUAUUCGCUUUAGUCAGACAGAACAUUAAUGCAAAUUUGUAUUUAUGAAAAGUAGUUUCUUACAUGGCAGAUUUGGCCUCUUUUAUUAAUUAGGCAGAUAACUUUUUCAGUUUCAGAGAUCAGCUGCUGCUUUUCCUUUAUUUCAAUUCUUACUUUUGGUGUUGGCAGGUGUACUUUUGUGAGGUUACCAAGUUCUUAAGGAGUGUGGCACCAAUAAUUACCCAAAGACCUGGCAAGAAACUUUUAGUAUACAAGAGCACACUUCAUCAUGAUGCACAAAUGAAGUAACAGGAAUGCUCAGACACUCCAGUUUUGAUAAGAAUUCAGAUCCACUGAAGCUGGAUGAAAAUGUCUAUUUUUGUUUGAGUGCCUUUAUUAAGAGCUCAGCAGCUUCUGGGCUCUCUCAUACUGGGAAUUUAGAAGAUUUGAAUACGUCUGGGAAAACUUCUCCCUAUUCAUGCAAUGACCUUCUCCUCCUGAAAAGAAGCUGUCUCUCGUGACUAUUUUUCUAUCAGGAUUAUUGUCUGGAGAGAAAUAAUGUCAUUUGUAUUAAAAAGUAUGAAG